UCAAUUUCCAAGUAUUUAAAAACACUCCUCAUAGUCAUUUUAACCAUACAAUAUUCCAAUUGCUUUAUUUCUUUUAUAAUUAAGUUGUUUUUGUUUUUCUUAACAAGCCCUAAUCCUAGCCAGUGAGCUUUGACAAGCUGUAACUUUUGAUCCAACCGUCCACUUAGUGUGAAAUUUUGCACCCAAAUAUCAGUAUAAGCCUUCUAUAUGCUCAAAAAAUUUCAG
Molecule: long non-coding RNA, 225 nt
Filed under: Physcomitrium patens
Lineage: Eukaryota; Viridiplantae; Streptophyta; Bryopsida; Funariales; Funariaceae
Description: long non-coding RNA (PPAT_LNC002634)
Source: RNAcentral